Molecule: long non-coding RNA, 852 nt
Filed under: Vigna radiata
Lineage: Eukaryota; Viridiplantae; Streptophyta; Magnoliopsida; Fabales; Fabaceae
Description: long non-coding RNA (VRAD_LNC015516)
Source: RNAcentral
AAAUUUGUUUUGAUAAUGAAAUUUUGAAAAUAUAUAAAGAAAGCUUAGAGAUGGGUAGUUGGCGGUGUUUGUAAUUUUGCAAUCAGAUUAAAAGAAUUGAAUAGUAUAUAUACUUUAGCCUUUCUUAUUCUCCACUUCAUGUCCAUUCUUUAUACUCUUCGUUUUUCUACAUUUCUUCUUCUUAAACUUUUAAAUUUUCAACACUAUGGUAUGGCGGCGCCGGAGGAGGAGCUUUAUGAGGGCGAGGAGUUGGAACACGCCUUCGGACUCCAUAACCGAGGCGCCAGGUGGAGUGCCGUCGCCGGAGAAGAGGCUAUAAAGAGGGAAACGCGUCGUCGGAACAGUACAUGUGAGAGUUACUUUACGCCGGCCACGUAAGACAUGUAAUAAAAAUAUAGAAAAAGACAACUUCUGUGGGCUUUAGAAAUUAGGAUUUUUUGGGCUAAAUAGUACAAACCGGGUCGAAAACCCGACCCGCUCAAAAUAGAAAUAAGGAAUUUUUGUGUCUUGUGUAAGGUAUACAGGAAUAAAAGUAUUUGAAUUUGUAAUAUUAAUCUUAUGACCAAUAUUCUAUCGAUAUAAGCUAGAUAUUUUAUAUUGCUUAUCUUGGGAUGUCAAUUCAGAGACGAAUAAGUAGCACAUGGGUUGUCAUAUAUCAAUGUAGUAGUAGGGAAUCAUGUCUGCUACGUGAUGGUACUAAUUUAAAAUAAUAAUAUUUUAAUCAUAUUUAUUUAUUUUUUGAUUUGAAAUCUUAGUAUAUAUUAUUAUAUUAUUAAGUGAAUAAAUGAAUGUACUUUAUUAGGAAAAUUAAGUAUUAUAUGAAAAAUUCUCUCAUAGAUCUCUCUUCACUAG